Pongo pygmaeus (Bornean orangutan) is the source of this 547-nucleotide long non-coding RNA. RefSeq lists it as uncharacterized. Lineage: Eukaryota; Metazoa; Chordata; Mammalia; Primates; Hominidae. The record is from RefSeq and is a predicted model, not a curated record. The transcript is spliced from 3 exons.
GAGGGCGCCGCCGACUCACCGCGGAGAUGCGGACGAGACAGACGCGGAGGCGGGGAGCGGAACUUCGGCGCCGCCGACGCGCGGGUGCAGCAGGUGAAAGACAAAAGGACCUUGAAAACAUAUGGCUUGCUGCCCUUCCACAGACAGAGGCAGCUCCAGUCCUGCUGCCAGGAGGACAGAUGGAGUCUCCCUCUGUUGCCCACGCUGGAGUGCAGUGGCUUGAUUUCAGCUCACUACAACCUCCACCUCCCAGGUUCAAGUGAUUCUCCUGCCUCAGCCUCCGGAGUAGCCAGGACUACAGAUGUGCACCGCCACAUCCAGCUAAUUUUUGCAUUUUUAGUACAUACAGGGUUUCACCAUGUUGGCCAGGCUGGUCAUGAACUCCUGACCUCAAGCAGUCCACCCACCUCAGCCUCCCAAAGUGCUGGGAUUACAGGCGUGAGCCACCGUGCCCAGCCUGAUCUUUGUUAUGGUUAUAUAAGAUGUUAUCAUUGGGUGAAAUUGAGUGAAGGAUACACUGGACCUUUCUGUACUAUUUUUUUGCAAC